CUUAUACUCCCUCCAUCCAGAAAUACUUGUCGGAUGAAUGGAUGUAUCUAGACGUAUUUUAGUUCUAGAUACAUCCAUUUUUAUACAUUUCUCCGACAAGUAUUUCCGGACGGAGGGAGUAUAUG
Molecule: non-coding RNA, 125 nt
Organism: Triticum urartu
Lineage: Eukaryota; Viridiplantae; Streptophyta; Magnoliopsida; Poales; Poaceae
Source: Rfam